CCCAAGUUCUAGAAGAAUGUGAAGGUUUCAGGAACUUCCACAUUGUCAAGACAUGGAGGAGGGGAGACGGAAUUUGAUGAUGAAGAUUACCACAAAGACAGCCACUGUUCUGGUUCUCACAGCCUCUUCUGUUUUGGUGUUUCUUCCAGGCAUGUCAGAGAUACUGCAGUCUGCCCAUGUCUUGCCUAGGCUGCAAGCCCUGUGCCUAGAAGCUGCCAUCCCUGUAAGAAGCUGCCAUCCCUCUCUACUGUGCCUCCUGCUGGCAUGGGAACAAGUGGCAGCCCAGCCAGUCUCCCCAUGAUGAGCAAAGCAACUGGAGUCCUGGCUUCUGGCAGACAAUGUUAACGACAAUUGACGGGAGGCUCCAAACCCAGGUUUACUGAGAGGUAAGAUCACAGACAUCUUUAGCACGGCUACCUCAACCCAUAUGGGCACAGGAAGUUCAACAGGCCACCCAGGAGGUAAGGCAUCUGUGGUAUUCACACAUGUCCUUCUUCUCACAUGUAACCACCUUUUCUGAAAAUUCUUUCCCAGUGCCUAAUGUUUACCUUCCAAUUUCCAGCACAAAUGAGAUGAAUAGCAAUGACAAAGACUCUCUUUGAACUUUAGUUGGGCUCCUCUGAGCCCAUUUCUCAAGUAGGCCUCGACCUUGGCUUUUGUGUCCUUCCUCGGGGAGCCUAGUUUUAGAAAGAAUCCUGCUACAUCAACUCCCAAACCUUGAUAUCUGAUCACCCAAGCUCCCCAUCUCUGCCCCUGAUGACAUUUAGUCCUUUCUUGUCCUUAACAAGAGCAAUGCCAGGCCAGUUUAACAAGAACCCCUAUCCUUGAUGUCUCCACUUCAUGAUUUUCCAUCUGCUGACACCCUUGUUCUGCUCCUUGGCUAUAUCCCCAGCUACCUUUGCUGUAUUCAGAGUUGUGCUCAGUCUCUCUCCCCUCUUGCAAUAGAGUUGACUCAUGUUACAAUAGUCCUGCAUAAAGCCUUCCUUACCAUUUUAAGGAGCAUCUCGUGAAGAACUUUUCUUUUACAGCAACCUGCAUCACAGUCUUUUCCAAAAAUGCUCUUUUUUCAAGAAAGGUAGCAAGCAACCCAUAGUUCCCUCAUCUUCCAUUCAAAUAGUCCAAUGACCACCACAUUCCACACAGACCUUCUUCCCCACCCUCCUGGCAAAGUCUGUCUCUUUUGCCUGAGGAUCUGAUGGUUUUGCUGAUUAAUGCAAAUGGUACUAAAUACCCUAAAUGUUUCAUUUGAAAGUUAAGUGGAAAAGCAAAUUG
RNAcentral lists this long non-coding RNA (1272 nucleotides) under Felis catus (domestic cat). RNAcentral describes it as "lncRNA (ENSFCAG00000049005.1)". The record is from RNAcentral. Lineage: Eukaryota; Metazoa; Chordata; Mammalia; Carnivora; Felidae.